UAAAUGUAGCUGUUCCUGCCUAGAAGAUAAUCACGAAAGAAAAGAGAAGAUUACAAGAAACUCCGUUGGCUUGGCUACUGAGGACGAGUUUUGUCUUUCGGAGAAGAUGACGAGCAGACCUUCCUUUUCUCUAGUUCUCUUUGCUAUCCUCUUAUUUUCUGCUGCUUCUCCUGGAGUCCUUGGAAUCUGUCUGUACAGCAUCUUUGGAUCACCACCAGAUGAUUGUGGCUAUUGCACAGAAGGAAGUAUGUGUGAUCCACCUUUUGAAGGUGCUAUAUCGCAACCAAACGAUCCUUGCACCUACUGUAACUCAGGCCUGUACUGUAUGCCAGUUGCAGGAGGAAGUUAUGGGUUCUGUGUUCCUCCUGGGCGAUGAGCAUGACAUUCUGAGAAGACCCAAUUUAGUGUAAUUUUCAAUUUCAUUUGUCCUCCAUUUCGAGGCUUAAUUUGCCUCUCUGUGUGCUGUUGUUCCUGUGAAGUGUUAAGCUUUUCACUUGGUUUUUUCCCCCACUCUUCUGUUAUUACCACAUGUCUCUCUCUAGUCUUUCUUUCUUCUCUACUCUUCACUCUUCAGAGGGAGAAGCAGUCAAGACAGUCAUCUUGUAACGGUGACACCUAUUUGUAUUGUAACUAAUAAAUUCUUAUAUUUCCUUACUGGGAAUUACAACA
This is a long non-coding RNA of Coffea arabica (coffee), 669 nucleotides long. RefSeq lists it as uncharacterized. Lineage: Eukaryota; Viridiplantae; Streptophyta; Magnoliopsida; Gentianales; Rubiaceae. The record is from RefSeq and is a predicted model, not a curated record.